CAUGAAUAUUCAUGUUUAAUAUUCAUGUGGGCGGGGCGCCCACUGAAACAGAAAAUCUCGGAAACCGAAAAUCUCGUAACAUCGGACACAUGGAGCAGAUAAAAACAGCGUCAUCAUACCCACAGAUUUUAGGUACAUGCUGCUCAGGGACUGUGGGCUGAUAUCCUCAUAUAAUCCUGCAUGAAACGGCCAAGGAAAACCCC
Molecule: long non-coding RNA, 203 nt
Filed under: Sinocyclocheilus anshuiensis
Lineage: Eukaryota; Metazoa; Chordata; Actinopteri; Cypriniformes; Cyprinidae
Description: lncRNA (ENSSANG00000028127.1)
Source: RNAcentral